UAUGGUAAUUGCCAGCAGCCGCGGUAAUACGGAGGCUCCGAGCGUUAUCCGGAUUUAUUGGGUUUAAAGGGAGCGUAGGCGGGUGCUUAAGUCAGUUGUGAAAGUUUGCGGCUCAACCGUAAAAUUGCAGUUGAUACUGGGCGCCUUGAGUGCAGCAUAGGUAGGCGGAAUUCGUGGUGUAGCGGUGAAAUGCUUAGAUAUCACGAAGAACUCCGAUUGCGAAGGCAGCUUACUGGACUGUAACUGACGCUGAUGCUCGAAAGUGUGGGUAUCAAACAGG
RNAcentral lists this ribosomal RNA (280 nucleotides) under Bacteroides eggerthii DSM 20697. Its description in RNAcentral is "partial 16S ribosomal RNA". It matches the Rfam family "Bacterial small subunit ribosomal RNA", at positions 494 to 776 of the family's 1533-position model. Lineage: Bacteria; Pseudomonadati; Bacteroidota; Bacteroidia; Bacteroidales; Bacteroidaceae. The record is from RNAcentral.